Long non-coding RNA from Lynx canadensis (Canada lynx), 1876 nucleotides. RefSeq lists it as uncharacterized. Lineage: Eukaryota; Metazoa; Chordata; Mammalia; Carnivora; Felidae. The transcript has 3 exons. The record is from RefSeq and is a predicted model, not a curated record.
UGACAUAGGCAUCGAAAAAACCACAAACUAAUUCUUUUCCAGUGUCCUCAACUACCUCCAUCUUUACUUCAUGAAAUGAUUAAAUAUUGGCUUCUGAAAAAAUGUGAUUGUUGGUUAGCCGAACAAGUAUUUCUCUAGCAGUGCAGCAGACGCUUUCCUUCUGGUGACAUGUGAGAGUGGGUGGGACUGAUAUGUUGAUGUGGCAGAAGUACAUCGUGAACCACGCUGAGGAAGGCAACAUCUGUGAGGAUGGUGGAGAAUUACACGGGAAGGAGACAAAUCCAUAGAAGAAGAUCACAGAGCAAAGCCUCACUUGCAUAGGCUCUUUGGACUUUUAAAUUGUUCCAUGUGCACGAGUCAAACUUAAGUCAUUGUCUUUCAUUUGCUUGUUUGUUUUCCAGCAGUUUAGUCUUUAUCCUAAUAAAACUGCUUAGGAAAAUAUGAGCUGAUUGCUAUUCUUUUAAAGGGAAUGGCUAAACACAAUUGUAAUGGUAAAAAAAAAAAAUCUGCACAUUUUUCUUUACUUAGAUUGGAUAAGAGACAGAUGGAUUGUAUGGAAAUAAGUAACUUAUAACAUGGUCUUUUUGUUAUGUAAUUUCUCCCAUGCUUAAGAAGUAUUAUAUUAAUCACAGUUCUAAGAAGAGUCAGGUUUACAUUGUCAUAUGAAGUCUUUUCAUGGAUAUCUCCUCCAACUGUCAGAGAAGUAUUAUAUACAUGUAAUAGUGUCAUAGAGCAUAGAGUAUAGAUAAAAUAUAUAGUUUAUAGAGUAAAUUGAUUAUACGGUAAAGAGUAUAUAAAGUACACAGCAUGUAGGGUAGAUAGAGUAAUACUAUACAUUACUCUCCAUGUGUUCACAAAUAGAUAUAUUCACAUAUUACUUUCUACACAGAGAGAAUUUGUUUUCUGAAACCAUUAGAAGAUUUGAAUUUUCACAAGUCACAAAUAACAGAACUUUCAAGGUGUUCUAAAAUUAGAUAGAAAAUAGUUACUUAUAAGAAACCAUCCAGAAAUGCAUCAUUAACUCUCAGAAUGUGUAAAUAAAUCUGACAUUUGCCAGAAGCUAAUGAGAUACAUGCUUGCUGUCUAACUUGUCAAACAUUCUUUUUGGGAAAUCUUAAAAAGAGAAGCCUUCUAAAUCUGAGUCAUUUACAUGAGACCAAGUCAAAACAUACCAAACAUCAAAAUCAGGUUCCUGUUCUCUAAAGGUAUUUCAUAUGAAGAAGCAAGGUCUCCAUUGUUGGAUAGAUUUGCUUUAGAAUCCUCAUCCUGUGAAUUACUGGUUGUCAUCUUAGGCAAUUUACUCCAUUUCUUGAAGCCUUGUGAACGCUAAAAACUUAGGAGUCAGAACCAACUCUACUGUGGUUUCAGCUACUGGCAAUGCUAUAAAUGUUCUUGCCCUUUCUUUUUCCCCUGCAUUUUCGCCAGUUUAUUUUGUAACUGCUGCCUCCUUGUAGAAUGUAAAAUCCAGUAUCUCAAUUAUCAGCUUAGAUUUAGAUCACUUAUGUCUAAAUGCCUGAUAAAGUAGUUUGGUAUAUACCCUUCGCAACAAAAGUGGAUGCUUUCUGCAUUCGACUCCAUCUCAGAUCUCUUCCUUCAAGGAAAUAUACUUGAAUUUUGGUAGGUGUGCAGAAAAUAAUGCUGUUUGCAUUACUUCAAUCCAGAAGGUCAAAGAGUAUUACAAAUGAUGGACUACAUCACUAUGACAGCAUGGUGAUGGAGGAACAUGAAAUGUUAUUGGCACAUCUGAGUCCCAAAGAAUAUCAGCAAAAAAAAUAGUUUGACAAUGACAUCAUAAAAUUACUGUUUAUAAUCACUGGUGGCUCAUUUUAUUUCAAAGUCUUUGGUUUUGUUGAUCAUCUCCAUUAUGUAUCUGUAU